Molecule: long non-coding RNA, 1646 nt
Organism: Catharus ustulatus (Swainson's thrush)
Lineage: Eukaryota; Metazoa; Chordata; Aves; Passeriformes; Turdidae
Exons: 2
Source: RefSeq, a predicted model, not a curated record
CUCACACAGUCCAGCUGGGCUCCUGCUACAUUGCAUGACAGCUUGCAAAGGGCAGGCAGCUCCAGGGCUGCUUCCAGGACCGACCUCCAAAGAUUUCAGUCUGAAAAGAGCUGGGAUGUUCUGUGCAGUGCCCAAGGAAACCUUCCUGAGGAGCAGCUGCCUGGGCAUGGGGAAGGAGCUGGGAUGGCUGCUCAGGCUGAGGAGCAGGGAGGAUUUCCUCAGCAUCCCUCAAGGCAAGGCAGGGGGAAGGUCUGCUCAGCCACAGGAGGGACCCAGAUGCUGCUGCCAUCACUAAACCCUCAGCCCUGGGGAGCCAAGCUCUACCUCCAGCCCCAGGCUCUGCACUGAGAUUCUCCUGGAAAAUCAGACUCAGUGCUUCAAACAGAGUCUGGAACAAGUGGUUGGCUGUCCAUGAAGUGCUUGGAGGAAAAGGCAGCAGCAGGAUAAGGUUAUUCUAUGGAUUGGGCUGUGCUACAGUUGGCCCAGGCACAGCCAGAGAACUCAGCCAGCAUUGUCCAUCCUCCAGUGCACACCCACCACGCAGAGCACACCUUGUCUGAGCUGAUGGCUCUUCACAGGAUCCUUCUGCUUGAGAAAUGAUAUCACAGCUCAUAUCCGUGUCCACUUGAGGUCUGGAGCGUUGCUAAGAGAAAAACAAUUCUUGGCAAAUCCCUGGAAGUGCUUGCCUCCUCCGGUUUGGAUGAAGACAGUUUGUUCAGUGCAGAUGGGUAGGUGUGAGCUUCUGUCUCUUCGCCUUCUGAGAAUUGUUUUCGCCAGUGCAAAACUGAAGAUGAUAAUGCUCCCAUUAAAAAUGAGGUGAAUGCUCAGGCUAACAUGAGUGGGUGGAAAGGACUUCAAACAGGAUGAAUCUGGGGACAAACCUACCCUUGCCAAGACAAACAGCUGCAGAGAGCUGCAGGAAAGGAAAAGGGCACUUCUGUUCAAAAUGAUUCAGUCACACAGGGCUGAUUGAGGCUGUGUAUCCAUCAAUUUAAAACAAAAACCAAUGGCUUUCAUAUGAAGAAAGAAAAGGAGCAUCGUAUGUCACACAGGAGGACUGGAGAGCUGCUAUCAUUAGGACAACAAACUGAUAUUCCAUAGGACAGUGGAGAUAUGGGAUGAGAGCAAAGCAGAAAGCUGUCUCUCUCCUUCCUACAUCUGUCUUUGAUUUGCUUUGCCUCUAUCUGCCUGUUGUUGAUGUUUUCUCACAUUAUCUUGGUCCCUUUGUUCAAGCUGCAUUUCAUUCCAGGAAGGCAGGGAGCUCCAGGUGUGAAUGAGGGCUGUGAGCAUGAACUCCCUGUCACAGUUAUUAUUGUUACCAUUCCUCUGAAAACCAGCCUGGUGGAGGUUUGGCUCUGUGUUAUUUGUUCUGCUGUUUUAACUGUAUCCUUGUUAAAUGUGGGAAAUGGAAUGCUAGUGGAAUGGAAAUGUGGAAAGGGGAAUGAAGUGCAGUGCUUUGCACGAUGGCUUGCACCCAAAGGUGCAGCCUUAGCUAAUGAAGUGCUGUCAUGCUGUGGAGCAAGAUGUUUGAGAUUGCAGGAUUGGGACCUGCUGCUCAAAUGAAUCAGGUAUUCAGGACUUGCUGCUCUUCUUUGUAAUGGGAGAAACUGUGUGUUAAAAAAGCUAAUACAGAAUUUUCAAUGCUC